This 465-nucleotide ribosomal RNA is filed under the name Vreelandella stevensii. Its description in RNAcentral is "partial 16S ribosomal RNA". It matches the Rfam family "Bacterial small subunit ribosomal RNA", at positions 338 to 795 of the family's 1533-position model. Lineage: Bacteria; Pseudomonadati; Pseudomonadota; Gammaproteobacteria; Oceanospirillales; Halomonadaceae. The record is from RNAcentral.
CCUACGGGUGGCAGCAGUGGGGAAUAUUGGACAAUGGGGGGAACCCUGAUCCAGCCAUGCCGCGUGUGUGAAGAAGGCCCUCGGGUUGUAAAGCACUUUCAGUGAGGAAGAACGCCUGGUGGUUAAUACCCAUCAGGAAAGACAUCACUCACAGAAGAAGCACCGGCUAACUCCGUGCCAGCAGCCGCGGUAAUACGGAGGGUGCGAGCGUUAAUCGGAAUUACUGGGCGUAAAGCGCGCGUAGGUGGCUUGAUAAGCCGGUUGUGAAAGCCCCGGGCUCAACCUGGGAACGGCAUCCGGAACUGUCAAGCUAGAGUGCAGGAGAGGAAGGUAGAAUUCCCGGUGUAGCGGUGAAAUGCGUAGAGAUCGGGAGGAAUACCAGUGGCGAAGGCGGCCUUCUGGACUGACACUGACACUGAGGUGCGAAAGCGUGGGUAGCAAACAGGAUUAGAUACCCGGGUAGUC